CCUACGGGGGGCUGCAGUGGGGAAUAUUGGACAAUGGGGGGAACCCUGAUCCUGCCAUGCCGCGUGUGUGAAGAAGGCCCUCGGGUUGUAAAGCACUUUCAGUGAGGAAGAACGCCUGGUGGUUAAUACCCAUCAGGAAAGACAUCACUCACAGAAGAAGCACCGGCUAACUCCGUGCCAGCAGCCGCGGUAAUACGGAGGGUGCGAGCGUUAAUCGGAAUUACUGGGCGUAAAGCGCGCGUAGGUGGCUUGAUAAGCCGGUUGUGAAAGCCCUGGGCUCAACCUGGGAACGGCAUCCGGAACUGUCAAGCUAGAGUGCAGGAGAGGAAGGUAGAAUUCCCGGUGUAGCGGUGAAAUGCGUAGAGAUCGGGAGGAAUACCAGUGGCGAAGGCGGCCUUCUGGACUGACACUGACACUGAGGUGCGAAAGCGUGGGUAGCAAACAGGAUUAGAUACCCCGGUAGUC
Molecule: ribosomal RNA, 465 nt
Filed under: Vreelandella stevensii
Lineage: Bacteria; Pseudomonadati; Pseudomonadota; Gammaproteobacteria; Oceanospirillales; Halomonadaceae
Description: partial 16S ribosomal RNA
Rfam family: Bacterial small subunit ribosomal RNA
Source: RNAcentral